Molecule: ribosomal RNA, 557 nt
Filed under: uncultured marine eukaryote
Lineage: Eukaryota
Description: SSU rRNA
Rfam family: Eukaryotic small subunit ribosomal RNA
Source: RNAcentral
UGCGGUUAAAAAGCUCGUAGUUGGAUUUCUGUCCGAGGCAGCCGGUCCGCACCUGGUGCGUGUAUCAGGUUUGACUAGGGCAUCCCCUUGGGGAACGUUUCUGUGCUUCAUUGCAUGGGGCGGAAUUCAAGACAUUUACUUUGAGGAAAUUAGAGUGUUCACGGCAAGCUAUCGCUUUGAAUACAUUAGCAUGGAAUAAUAAUAUAGGGCGUAAGUCUUAUUUUGUUGGUUUCUAGGACAUACGCAAUGAUUAAUAGGGACAAUUGGGGGCAUUCGUAUUAACGCGUCAGAGGUGGAAUUCUUAGAUUGCGUUACGACGAACUACUGCGAAAGCAUUUGCCAAGGAUGUUUUCAUUGAUCAAGAACGAAAGUAUGGGGAUCGAAGACGCUUAGAUACCGUCGUAGUCUAUACCAUAAACUAUGCCAACUAGAGAUUGGAGGUCGUUCUCUUUAUGACUCCUUCAGCACCUUAUGAGAAAUCAAAGUCUUUGGGUUCCGGGGGGAGUAUGGUCGCAAGGCUGAAACUUAAAGGAAUUGACGGAAGGGCACCACCAGGA